RNAcentral lists this ribosomal RNA (198 nucleotides) under uncultured bacterium. RNAcentral's name for it is "partial 16S ribosomal RNA". It matches the Rfam family "Bacterial small subunit ribosomal RNA", at positions 328 to 539 of the family's 1533-position model. The record is from RNAcentral.
ACGCUCGACACCUACGGGAGGCAGCAGUGGGGAAUAUUGCACAAUGGGGGAAACCCUGAUGCAGCGACGCCGCGUGAGCGAAGAAGUAUUUCGGUAUGUAAAGCUCUAUCAGCAGGGAAGAUCAUGACGGUACCUGACUAAGAAGCUCCGGCUAAAUACGUGCUAGCAGCCGCGGUAAUCUGAGCGGGCUGGCAAGGC